Molecule: ribosomal RNA, 419 nt
Filed under: bacterium
Lineage: Bacteria
Description: partial 16S ribosomal RNA
Rfam family: Bacterial small subunit ribosomal RNA
Source: RNAcentral
UGGGGGAUAUUGCACAAUGGGCGAAAGCCUGAUGCAGCGACGCCGCGUGGGGGAUGAAGGCCUUCGGGUUGUAAACUUCUUUUGCUCUGAACAAGGCGCACCAUGGGGUGUGUUGAGUGUAGGGGUUGAUUAGCGCCGGCUAACUACGUGCCAGCAGCCGCGGUAAUACGUAGGGCGCGAGCGUUGUCCGGAAUUAUUGGGCGUAAAGGGCUUGUAGGUGGCCGGUUGCGUCUGUCGUGAAAGCUCAUGGCUUAACUGUGGGUUUGCGGUGGGUACGGGCUGGCUUGAGUGCAGUAGGGGAGGCUGGAAUUCCUGGUGUAGCGGUGGAAUGCGCAGAUAUCAGGAGGAAUACCGGUGGCGAAGGCGGGUCUCUGGGCUGUUACUGACACUGAGGAGCGAAAGCAUGGGGAGCGAACAGG